AUCAGUAAAAAGAACCGAACUUCCCAUCACUACUCUGCAGACUGCCACUGCUGCACGACACUCACAUGCUAUUAAGCCAAUCUCAUAAAAUAUAUUUUUAGCACAAACUGUAUAUUAGUCUAUUGUAGGCUAUAGGCCUAUGUAUUUGGGUUCGGGUUAGAAGCGUCGAUUACCGGUCGUAUGUUUACAUUGAAGAGUGAAAAAUAUUUGCACUCGACAAAAAUUCAGGAGCUAGCUUUCUUGAAUUUUCAUAGAUAUGUUUUAUCAUCCAGUAUUUUUCAUUUUCAAAAUCACACUGGGAAAAGCAGUAGGCAACAUGAGUGUAUGGCGGCUGACCUGAAUGUCUUUGUUUUCCAGAAGCUGGGGACAGAGGGGUAGGAAAUGUAUUUACUGAGCAUAUGCCUGCAUGAGGGAGUAUGUGUUGGUUGUAGGUGUUGUGAUUUUCUUAUAUUUAUUCCACCUGCAGUUCACUCUAUUCAGAGGUAAAGACUCUCCUCUGGCUACAGUGUGAAGACUGCAAAGGAUGGCUGCACACAGAUUGUGCUGGUGUCGCAGAGCAAUCCAUCAGAGAUCCCUACUGGUGUGGUUGCAAGAGACCUUUGCCUUUGAACUUUGAUGGGACACUAAGAGUUCUGCAGCAGGAUGGAGUGCAGGGUCUCAUUGGUGACGAUGAGCUCCAGAAAAUACAUCAAGCACUGGUGUCUGAUGAAAUUAAGUCGAGCCGGAUGUAUCUUUAGAGAAAUCCCGGAACCUCAUUGAAACUGAAGCAGCUUUUAAGACCAAAGUGUUUCCUUUUCAAUGAAGAAAAUGUCACCAUCCACAUCAUCAGAAAGAACGACAGCGUUUGCCGGUUAAUGGCUGAGAUGUGCCUUGCCUCAGGAACUGUGUUUGAGUGAAUAUAUAGUGUACUACAGUGUUUUGUACAUGUACAAAAAGUGUUUUGAAUUGUAUUAUUUAUGUUUUCAAAUACAUCUAUUUUUAUUGA
Molecule: long non-coding RNA, 985 nt
Organism: Hypomesus transpacificus
Lineage: Eukaryota; Metazoa; Chordata; Actinopteri; Osmeriformes; Osmeridae
Exons: 4
Source: RefSeq, a predicted model, not a curated record